RNAcentral lists this ribosomal RNA (864 nucleotides) under Pantoea sp. MBIL2.47. RNAcentral describes it as "partial 16S ribosomal RNA". It matches the Rfam family "Bacterial small subunit ribosomal RNA", at positions 41 to 895 of the family's 1533-position model. The record is from RNAcentral. Lineage: Bacteria; Pseudomonadati; Pseudomonadota; Gammaproteobacteria; Enterobacterales; Erwiniaceae.
AWCGGSMGUUSUACAMUGCAAGUCGAACGGCAGCACAGAAGAGCUUGCUCUUUGGGUGGCGAGUGGCGGACGGRUGAGUAAUGUCUGGGAAACUGCCCGAUGGAGGGGGAUAACUWCUGGAAACGGUAGCUAAUACCGCAUAACGUCGCAAGACCAAAGUGGGGGACCUUCGGGCCUCACACCAUCGGAUGUGCCCAGAUGGGAUUAGCUAGUAGGUGGGGUAAUGGCUCACCUAGGCGACGAUCCCUAGCUGGUCUGAGAGGAUGACCAGCCACACUGGAACUGAGACACGGUCCAGACUCCUACGGGAGGCAGCAGUGGGGAAUAUUGCACAAUGGGCGCAAGCCUGAUGCAGCCAUGCCGCGUGUAUGAAGAAGGCCUUCGGGUUGUAAAGUACUUUCAGCGGGGAGGAAGGCGGUGAGGUUAAUAACCUUGUCKAUUGACGUUACCCGCAGAAGAAGCACCGGCUAACUSCGKGCCAGCAGCCGCGGUAAUACGGAGGGUGCAAGCGUUAAUCGGAAUUACUGGGCGUAAAGCGCACGCAGGCGGUCUGUUAAGUCAGAUGUGAAAUCCCCGGGCUUAACCUGGGAACUGCAUUUGAAACUGGCAGGCUUGAGUCUCGUAGAGGGGGGUAGAAUUCCAGGUGUASCGGUGAUAUGCGUAGAGAUCUGGAGGAAUACCGGUGGCGAAUGCGGCCCCCUGGACGAAGAYUGACGCUCAGGUGCRAAAGCGUGGGGGAGCAAWCRGGAUUAGAUACCCUGGUAKUCCACGCCGWAACRAUGUCGACUYGGAGGUUGUGCYCUUGAGCKUGCUUCCGGASCUAAMSCGUAAGYYACCGCCCUGGGGAKYAWCGACSGYAAGRUC